Molecule: ribosomal RNA, 497 nt
Filed under: uncultured bacterium
Lineage: Bacteria
Description: partial 16S ribosomal RNA
Rfam family: Bacterial small subunit ribosomal RNA
Source: RNAcentral
GAUGAACGCUGGCGGCGUGCCUAAUACAUGCAAGUCGAGCGAACGGACGAUAAUCUUGCUUCUCUGAUGUUAGCGGCGGACGGGUGAGUAACACGUGGAUAACCCACCUAUAAGACUGGGAUAACUUCGGGAAACCGGAGCUAAUACCGGAUAAUAUUUUGAACCGCAUGGUUCAAAAGUGAAAGUCGGUCUUUCUGGCACUUAUAGAUGGAUCCGGGCUGCAUUAGCUAGUUGUUAAGGUAACGGGUUACCAAGGCAACGAUGCAUAGCCGACCUGAGAGGGUGGUCGGCCACACUGGAACUGAGACACGGUCCAGACUCCUACGGGAGGCAGCAGAAGGGAAUCUUCCGCAGUAGGCGAAAGCCUGACGGAGCAACGCCGCGUGAGUGAUGAAGAUCUUCGGAUCGUAAAACUCUGUUAUUAGGGAAGAACAUAUGUGUAAGUAACUGUGCACAUCUUGACGGUAACUAAUCAGAAAGCCACGGCUAACUACGUG